UACGGGGGGGGCAAGCGUUGUUCGGAAUUACUGGGCGUAAAGGGCUCGUAGGCGGCCAACUAAGUCAGACGUGAAAUCCCUCGGCUUAACCGGGGAACUGCAUCUGAUACUGGAUGGCUUGAGUUCGGGAGAGGGAUGCGGAAUUCCAGGUGUAGCGGUGAAAUGCGUAGAUAUCUGGAGGAACACCGGUGGCGAAGGCGGCAUCCUGGACCAACACUGACACUGAGGAGCGAAAGCCAGGGGAGCAAACGGG
Molecule: ribosomal RNA, 253 nt
Filed under: uncultured bacterium
Lineage: Bacteria
Description: partial 16S ribosomal RNA
Rfam family: Bacterial small subunit ribosomal RNA
Source: RNAcentral